Scylla paramamosain (green mud crab) is the source of this 1339-nucleotide long non-coding RNA. RefSeq lists it as uncharacterized. The record is from RefSeq and is a predicted model, not a curated record. The transcript is spliced from 3 exons. Lineage: Eukaryota; Metazoa; Arthropoda; Malacostraca; Decapoda; Portunidae.
UCGAGACUACUCGUAUUCUGAAACGCUUUGAUCUCUCACCAAGACUAUUUUCCAAGGCCACCGAGAUGAUUAGCCGGGUUCUCAAGAGUUUCUCAUCUGAAUAACAUAGACAUCUUGUUAAUCUGCCACUAAAGCCUUAAAAAAACAUGCUUAAAAAAACCACUUCAGCUUUUGAAUAUAGUGAAGAUGCGACGUAGAAGUGUUUCAGAAUAUGGUCUUUAUACACACACACACACACACACACACACACACACACAAACACACAGACGUUUUGCACAAUGAACAAGCAGUUAAGUUGGUUUCAUUCUCAUUCUAUCUCACUGUGCCUCAUCUAGUCAUCCAUGAGCAGGAUUAGGUGCAAGGCAAGUGAAAGAUCUCAGGCCUGUCCAUAGAUCCAGAGUGAACCUUAUCACACACACACACACACACUCACACACUUCUAAUAAUCCUCAAUCCUAUUUAUUUUGAUAUCAACACGAAUUAUAACAAGUAUGAGGAAUCGAAUAUAAGAAACUGGAGUAUAAAAAAAAAAAGAGGGAGGUGGGCAAUAUUAGCUGGCAACCCUCCGAGGAAUACUACGCAUCCAUUGACCAAUCACAGGAAUUCACACACCAGCGUCAGCCAAUCAGCAGCUGCGUUAGGUAUGCCCUGGUGUGCUAGCCAAUGAGGGAGGGCGUAACGUGAGGCAGGAAUGGCUAUGCAUCAUCUGGGAGCGUUAGUAGUUCUGACCUUGUGACGGGAGGAGGCUGCUGAGGCGCUGACCUGAAAGGAAGCAGAUUGGAGGUUAUCAAAUUAGUGUUGUGAAGUUGCACGUGGCAAGAUGGCCGCCAUUGACGUCACGGGAACUAGAUCGUUGCCAGAUUUCAUGACAUCACUUGCUGUUAGUCGGAGUAAAUGCAGAGAUGGACUGGAAGGGGAGCUGGAGAAAAUGAAGGACGGGGAGUGUAAUAGAGAGGAAUAAAGGUAAAAAAAAAAAACUCGCUAAUAUCAUUUCCCUUGACAUUUAAACCACGAAGGAGAAGAGAGAUGAGUCCUAAAACAUCAUCACAAUACAACACGCCAUAAAACGAUAAAACAUCACCACUACAAAACCAACACAAUAAAACACGCAAUAAAACAAUACAUACAUUUUUCUCUCUAUAUUUAUUCCGAAAUAUGUAGAAAUACGCACACGAGAGCUGAAGGAUUGGCAUGUGUGGUGACCUUACGUAUGGGGAGUAGAGUUCAAAAGUAUACAUGCACCAGAUUAUGCCAUGCCGCACUAUGCCACGUGCGGGAAUUUGAGAGAUUACGUAAAUAUGCACAUGUACAGCUGGCGAAGGAAAAGAUGGAAUGUUGU